CCCCGUGAACCUUUACUAUAGCUUGACACUGAACAUUGAGCCUUGAUGUGUAGGAUAGGUGGGAGGCUUUGAAGUGUGGACGCCAGUCUGCAUGGAGCCGACCUUGAAAUACCACCCUUUAAUGUUUGAUGUUCUAACGUUGACCCGUAAUCCGGGUUGCGGACAGUGUCUGGUGGGUAGUUUGACUGGGGCGGUCUCCUCCUAAAGAGUAACGGAGGAGCACGAAGGUUGGCUAAUCCUGGUCGGACAUCAGGAGGUUAGUGCAAUGGCAUAAGCCAGCUUGACUGCGAGCGUGACGGCGCGAGCAGGUGCGAAAGCAGGUCAUAGUGAUCCGGUGGUUCUGAAUGGAAGGGCCAUCGCUCAACGGAUAAAAGGUACUCCGGGGAUAACAGGCUGAUACCGCCCAAGAGUUCAUAUCGACGGCGGUGUUUGGCACCUCGAUGUCGGCUCAUCACAUCCUGGGGCUGAAGUAGGUCCCAAGGGUAUGGCUGUUCGCCAUUUAAAGUGGUACGCGAGCUGGGUUUAGAACGUCGUGAGACAGUUCGGUCCCUAUCUGCCGUGGGCGCUGGAGAACUGAGGGGGGCUGCUCCUAGUACGAGAGGACCGGAGUGGACGCAUCACUGGUGUUCGGGUUGUCAUGCCAAUGGCACUGCCCGGUAGCUAAAUGCGGAAGAGAUAAGUGCUGAAAGCAUCUAAGCACGAAACUUGCCCCGAGAUGAGUUCUCCCUGACUCCUUGAGAGUCCUGAAGGAACGUUGAAGACGACGACGUUGAUAGGCCGGGUGUGUAAGCGCAGCGAUGCGUUGAGCUAACCGGUACUAAUGAACCGUGAGG
RNAcentral lists this ribosomal RNA (833 nucleotides) under Escherichia coli. RNAcentral describes it as "partial 23S ribosomal RNA". It matches the Rfam family "Bacterial large subunit ribosomal RNA", at positions 2089 to 2916 of the family's 2925-position model. Lineage: Bacteria; Pseudomonadati; Pseudomonadota; Gammaproteobacteria; Enterobacterales; Enterobacteriaceae. The record is from RNAcentral.